GAUGAACGCUGGCGGCGUGCCUAAUACAUGCAAGUCGAGCGAACGGACGAGAAGCUUGCUUCUCUGAUGUUAGCGGCGGACGGGUGAGUAACACGUAGAUAACCUACCUAUAAGACUGGGAUAACUUCGGGAAACCGGAGCUAAUACCGGAUAAUAUUUUGAACCGCAUGGUUCAACAGUGAAAGACGGUCUUGCUGUCACUUAUAGAUGGAUCCGCGCUGCAUUAGCUAGUUGGUAAGGUAACGGCUUACCAAGGCAACGAUGCAUAGCCGACCUGAGAGGGUGAUCGGCCACACUGGAACUGAGACACGGUCCAGACUCCUACGGGAGGCAGCAGUAGGGAAUCUUCCGCAAUGGGCGAAAGCCUGACGGAGCAACGCCGCGUGAGUGAUGAAGGUCUUCGGAUCGUAAAACUCUGUUAUUAGGGAAGAACAUAUGUGUAAGUAACUGUGCACAUCUUGACGGUACCUAAUCAGAAAGCCACGGCCAACUACGUG
RNAcentral lists this ribosomal RNA (497 nucleotides) under uncultured bacterium. Its description in RNAcentral is "partial 16S ribosomal RNA". It matches the Rfam family "Bacterial small subunit ribosomal RNA", at positions 28 to 507 of the family's 1533-position model. The record is from RNAcentral.